RNAcentral lists this ribosomal RNA (397 nucleotides) under Staphylococcus aureus. RNAcentral's name for it is "partial 23S ribosomal RNA". It matches the Rfam family "Bacterial large subunit ribosomal RNA", at positions 2506 to 2904 of the family's 2925-position model. The record is from RNAcentral. Lineage: Bacteria; Bacillati; Bacillota; Bacilli; Caryophanales; Staphylococcaceae.
CGACGGGGAGGUUUGGCACCUCGAUGUCGGCUCAUCGCAUCCUGGGGCUGUAGUCGGUCCCAAGGGUUGGGCUGUUCGCCCAUUAAAGCGGUACGCGAGCUGGGUUCAGAACGUCGUGAGACAGUUCGGUCCCUAUCCGUCGUGGGCGUAGGAAAUUUGAGAGGAGCUGUCCUUAGUACGAGAGGACCGGGAUGGACAUACCUCUGGUGUACCAGUUGUCGUGCCAACGGCAUAGCUGGGUAGCUAUGUGUGGACGGGAUAAGUGCUGAAAGCAUCUAAGCAUGAAGCCCCCCUCAAGAUGAGAUUUCCCAACUUCGGUUAUAAGAUCCCUCAAAGAUGAUGAGGUUAAUAGGUUCGAGGUGGAAGCAUGGUGACAUGUGGAGCUGACGAAUACUAA